AACGAACGCUGGCGGCAUGCCUAACACAUGCAAGUCGAACGAGACCUUCGGGUCUAGUGGCGCACGGGUGCGUAACGCGUGGGAACCCGCCCUUAGGUUCGGAAUAACUCCCCGAAAGGGGUGCUAAUACCGGAUAAUGUCUUCGGACCAAAGAUUUAUCGCCUUUGGAUGGGCCCGCGUUGGAUUAGCUAGUUGGUAGGGUAAAAGCCUACCAAGGCGACGAUCCAUAGCUGGUCUGAGAGGAUGAUCAGCCACACUGGGACUGAGACACGGCCCAGACUCCUACGGGAGGCAGCAGUGGGGAAUAUUGGACAAUGGGCGAAAGCCUGAUACAGCAAUGCCGCGUGAGUGAUGAAGGCCUUAGGGUUGUAAAGCUCUUUUACUCGGGAUGAUAAUGACAGUACCGGGAGAAUAAGCUCCGGCUAACUCCGUG
RNAcentral lists this ribosomal RNA (433 nucleotides) under uncultured bacterium. RNAcentral's name for it is "partial 16S ribosomal RNA". It matches the Rfam family "Bacterial small subunit ribosomal RNA", at positions 29 to 507 of the family's 1533-position model. The record is from RNAcentral.